Long non-coding RNA from Thalassophryne amazonica, 117 nucleotides. RefSeq lists it as uncharacterized. Lineage: Eukaryota; Metazoa; Chordata; Actinopteri; Batrachoidiformes; Batrachoididae. The record is from RefSeq and is a predicted model, not a curated record. The transcript is spliced from 3 exons.
UCAGAUAACAGCUAAUUAUCAAAGCUCACUUUUUUCAUGAGCAGAUUAGCUUUUUGGCUAACAUUGAAAACCAUUAGUGGACCAAUUAGCUCACACUAAAUGUUUGUUCCACUAACA